UUUUCAUGACAUUCCAGGAUGCUAGACAAUGGUUGUCUUAUUCAUAGUAAUCUGCGAAAUUAUGUCACAGAGAACAAUAAGAGCCACCGUAGACAGAAAUUGUGAGGCAACUCGUAUAAUGAAUGAAAUGUAAUUGUUUGAAAAAAAAUAAAUCUCGUGCAAAUAUGGAGCAAAGAAUAGCUUAGCAUGCAUUAAGUUAAUAGCAAUGUACAAUUCAUUCCAACAAGACGUUGAAACUUUUCAAUAUUAUAUGUUUUUUUAAUUUAAUUUCUUAUUUGCUAGUGAUCUUUCAAACCUAAAAUUUUUUUCAUUUGCAGAGUAACUUGGGAAUCACAAAAGUCAUUAUCCAAGAUACUUACUGGUUAAAUACGCAAGUUUGCUCAUUCAAAGUAGGUGCUCAAAGCAGCAACAACCAAUCCUGUUGUCUCAAGAGUUGACGCUACAUCAGGGUACCCUUUCCAAGAUGUACUGAUCUUGAGAGAAGGAUAAAGCCAACUCUUUAUGGAAGACAUAAAGGAAUGGUUCUGGUUUUCAUGACAUUCCAGGAUGCUAGACAAUGGUUGUCUUAUUCAUAGUAAUCUGCGAAAUUAUGUCACAGAGAACAAUAAGAGCCACCGUAGACAAAAAUUGUGAGGCAACUCGUAUAAUGAAUGAAAUGUAAUUGUUUGAAAAAAAAUAAAUCUCGUGCAAAUAUGGAGCAAAGAAUAGCUUAGCAUGCAUUAAGUUAAUAGCAAUGUACAAUUCAUUCCAACAAGACGUUGAAACUUUUCAAUAUUAUAUGUUUUUUUUAUUUAAUUUCUUAUUUGCUAGUGAUCUUUCAAACCUAAAAUUUUUUUAAUUUGCAGAGUAACUUGGGAAUCACAAAAGUCAUUAUCCAAGAUACUUACUGGUUAAAUACGCAAGUUUGCUCAUUCAAAGUAGGUGCUCAAAGCAGCAACAACCAAUCCUGUUGUCUCAAGAGUUGACGCUACAUCAGGGUACCCUUUCCAAGAUGUACUGAUCUUGAGAGAAGGAUAAAGCCAACUCUUUAUGGAAGACAUAAAGGAAUUGGGAUCGGAUUCCAGAAUUGC
This 1070-nucleotide long non-coding RNA is filed under the name Olea europaea (common olive). RNAcentral's name for it is "long non-coding RNA (OEUR_LNC006929)". The record is from RNAcentral. Lineage: Eukaryota; Viridiplantae; Streptophyta; Magnoliopsida; Lamiales; Oleaceae.